GUGGACCAAUAAAAAUAAUGUCAUGUAUUUAAUUUAAAUAAAAUUAUAUUUCACAUCAGAAUUUGUUAAAAGGAGGAGAUAUUUUUGGACUUAAAUUUAAUGUUAAGGGUAUUUUUGAUCCAAAUAGGUGGAUGGAGGGGUAUUUUUGAACCAACAGAGGAAGAAGGGCAUUUUUGAGCUAUUUUUAAUAUAUUAAGGGUAUUUUUGAAUCACAUAAAUGGGUGAAAAUGUAUUUUUAAGCUUAAAGGUGGAAGGAAGAUAUUUAUGUAUCAUUUUCAAUAGUUGAAGGGUAUAUUAGACCCUUUUCCUUUUCCGUUCAAAAAAAAAAAAAACAUUUCAAAGUUAGAAAGGAAGGAAAAAAUUAAACUCACACCCAUUAUUAUUAAAUACUCCCUCC
Molecule: long non-coding RNA, 397 nt
Filed under: Capsicum annuum
Lineage: Eukaryota; Viridiplantae; Streptophyta; Magnoliopsida; Solanales; Solanaceae
Description: long non-coding RNA (CANN_LNC003684)
Source: RNAcentral